RNAcentral lists this ribosomal RNA (756 nucleotides) under Salmonella enterica subsp. enterica serovar Singapore. RNAcentral describes it as "partial 23S ribosomal RNA". It matches the Rfam family "Bacterial large subunit ribosomal RNA", at positions 1 to 797 of the family's 2925-position model. The record is from RNAcentral. Lineage: Bacteria; Pseudomonadati; Pseudomonadota; Gammaproteobacteria; Enterobacterales; Enterobacteriaceae.
GGUUAAGCGACUAAGCGUACACGGUGGAUGCCCUGGCAGUCAGAGGCGAUGAAGGGCGUGCUAAUCUGCGAUAAGCGCCGGUAAGGUGAUAUGAACCGUUAUAACCGGCGAUACCCGAAUGGGGAAACCCAGUGUGAUUCGUCACACUAUCAUUAACUGAAUCCAUAGGUUAAUGAGGCGAACCGGGGGAACUGAAACAUCUAAGUACCCCGAGGAAAAGAAAUCAACCGAGAUUCCCCCAGUAGCGGCGAGCGAACGGGGAGGAGCCCAGAGCCUGAAUCAGCAUGUGUGUUAGUGGAAGCGUCUGGAAAGGCGCGCGAUACAGGGUGACAGCCCCGUACACAAAAGCGCAUGUGUUGUGAGCUCGAUGAGUAGGGCGGGACACGUGGUAUCCUGUCUGAAUAUGGGGGGACCAUCCUCCAAGGCUAAAUACUCCUGACUGACCGAUAGUGAACCAGUACCGUGAGGGAAAGGCGAAAAGAACCCCGGCGAGGGGAGUGAAAAAGAACCUGAAACCGUGUACGUACAAGCAGUGGGAGCACAGGUUUACCUGUGUGACUGCGUACCUUUUGUAUAAUGGGUCAGCGACUUAUAUUCUGUAGCAAGGUUAACCGAAUAGGGGAGCCGUAGGGAAACCGAGUCUUAAUUGGGCGUUAAGUUGCAGGGUAUAGACCCGAAACCCGGUGAUCUAGCCAUGGGCAGGUUGAAGGUUGGGUAACACUAACUGGAGGACCGAACCGACUAAUGUUGAAAAAU